RNA transcript from Canis lupus familiaris (dog), 1880 nucleotides. It is a transcript of the gene named hematopoietic cell signal transducer, with no coding region annotated. The record is from RefSeq and is a predicted model, not a curated record. NCBI's taxonomy places the organism in Eukaryota, Metazoa, Chordata, Mammalia, Carnivora, Canidae. The transcript has 3 exons.
CUUCCAGCCUCCGGCCUCCCGGCCUCCCGGCCUCCAUCACCACCCAGCAGUCCGGGCGCCCGCGUCCGCUCACUCUCAGCACCCAGGCUUGACGCUCCCCCAUCCCGCGGUUCUCGGGGGCCGGACCCCCCACACCCUGGCUCUCGAGGGGCCGCGCGCCCCACCUCCCCACCUCCACUUACCCCUCGGGUUCCGUGGCGCGGAUUGCGGGCCCCCAGGGCCGCGGCCUCGGCGCUGCGCCAGCCUCGCUCUUCCCCCGCGGAGCCGCCGCCGGGUCCCCGAUCUAGGGUCGUGCCCCACGAGUUUUAAAACUGGGUCUCCGGCCCCGCCCAGUGAAGGGCAGGGCCCGCCCACAGGCCCGGGAGUCCCCGCGUCGCGCUAGAGCGGGUCCAGUCCCUGAAUGGGCGGGGCUGACAUUGAGGCCCCCACUCCUGAGCCUCCCUCGGACGAGGGGGGCCCGACGGGCGGGGCGUCUUUGGUUUGAGGGAGAAGCGGCCUGGGACAGAGGACACCUGAAGGAGGAGGGCGCUGGGGGCCUGGCCUUCUGGGUCUCUGUCCGAGGGGGUUCUGGAGGCUUCCAUUUCUGGGGCCUGGGCUGGGAGGGGACAGUAUUACUGAGUCCUGGGGUAAGAGGAGGCUGGGGUUCGGGACUUCCUGGUCCCGAGGGAGGCAAGAGUGACCUGGGUGAACUCAAAUUUCUCCCUCUUCCCCACAUCACUUUGUUUUCCAGAGGUCAGUUCUCGUCUAUUCGUUCAUCCUUAAGAAUAGUUCAUUACUGCGAGGGAGGUACUUUGCUGGGUGCCUCCGGAUGGCUGUGAACCAAGAACAGGAAUUCCCAGCCCUCAGGCCAACUGCCAUCCCUGGGGUGGCUGGUUCUCAGUUCCCAUCUUGGGGACUAUGUUAAUCAUUUCUCCCCCGGCUUUCGAGACUUCUGCUCUCCUGGUUCUCCUCCCUCACAUGCUGUUCCUUCCCAGUUUCCCUGGCUGUUUCCACCCCUUCACCCCCAUUCUUGGGGGCCAGGGGCACUCCUCUGCCUGUACUCACUUCCUUGGUGAUCUCAUCCAGUCUCGUGGCCUUAAAUGCCAUCCAUAAGGCAUCAACCCGAAAAUUUACAUCCUCCAGCCCAGGAUUCACAGAUGCAGCCGUGGUCAUUCAGUUCUACAGGGAGAUCUGUCGGCAUUUCCAGUUCAGUGUCCCCAGACCUUGGCACUUUCCCCCUAAACCUCCUCCCCUCUCCCCUCCUUCUCCAUCUUUUCAGUUGCUCAGUCCAGAAGCUUUGGUCAUCCCGAAUCCCUCUCUUUCAAACACACCCCAUACCUACAAGAUCAGUAAGUUUUGUUGGUUCCACCUCCAAAAGCUCUCCAGAACCUCCUCAGUGCCCACAGCCUGGUCCAUCUGUCACCUUCCACCUGGACAAUCAUAGCAGCCUCCCUGGUCUCUGACCCUACCCCUAGUUCAUCCCCAAAGGCAGUCACAGGGACCCACCACUUCUCCCCCUCCCACACCUUCACACAGGAAGCAGGUGGCCUUGCCACCAGCAGAGUGACAUCCGCUAUUGCUGCUUCUUUACUCCCCAACUGUUCCUCAGGACUUCUCUGGACCAAAGCCUCUUGCCAGACCCCUUCUAGCCUCAGCCUAGCAUGGCCCCUUCCGGUGACAUCCUGCUCCUGCUCCCAGUGAUUGCAGCUCUGGUGACCCCAGGUGAGAAAUGAGCACGCCUUGCCCUCUGCCAUGGCACUUCAGAACAUGACAAAAUCUACAUCAACAUGCCUGGCAGGGGCUGACCCCCGUGUAAGUGAGACCUUGGACUUCUGACCCUCUGCUUCCUGUGUUGUGUGUGGCAGCACAGAAACACAUUCCCCACUUUGGGGUGAAAUAAA